RNAcentral lists this long non-coding RNA (599 nucleotides) under Vitis vinifera (wine grape). RNAcentral describes it as "long non-coding RNA (VVIN_LNC003340)". Lineage: Eukaryota; Viridiplantae; Streptophyta; Magnoliopsida; Vitales; Vitaceae. The record is from RNAcentral.
AACAAAGCCAAAAAAAUCUUCCUACAUAUCUUCAACAGAUUUCUAAUAGCAUUACUAAGUUAAAUAUGAAUUCAAAAAAAAAAAUUCAAACUAAACUAAAAACUGUUCCUCUAUCUUGCAGAAUAUUCUCAAUAGAAUUUUGGUUUAUUUUAGCUUAAAUUCUGCAGCAAAUAUAACACUUGUCAUCAAUUCCUCUGUUGGUGGUUAUGAUAUCGGAGUUACCCCAGGUUUUUCUAUCAUGAGGAGAUUCAUUUUGCUUCUCAGACCAGUCUCAUUGACUCAAAUAACCAUCAAACGGUGAUAGAUUCUCAACUGUAGUGCAACAUGAUUGAGUCGAAGAAUCCAAGGUCGAUUAGUCAUCAUUCUCAGUCUCAGUAGCAUGAAUUCAUUUUCUUCCUUUUGGGCAAAGAUAUUGAUGACCAUUGUGAUUACCCACCCUAAUAAUAGCAACCUCAGCCACUUUCAACUCACUCCCACAUAGAGGACUGGGGAAAAUCAAAUAACCAUUCCAAUGUAAUAACUGGAUAUCGAAGGACAUGGUUAACCUUGUCAUCUGAUUCCAAGUGUGACCCUUGUCCCAUAAAACAGAAAUCUUUAAU